Long non-coding RNA from Triticum dicoccoides, 2497 nucleotides. RefSeq lists it as uncharacterized. The record is from RefSeq and is a predicted model, not a curated record. The transcript has 3 exons. NCBI's taxonomy places the organism in Eukaryota, Viridiplantae, Streptophyta, Magnoliopsida, Poales, Poaceae.
UUUUUCCGGUACGAUAAAAAAGAAAAGGAAAACAACCUCCGUAAGAAAAGCACCCACGAGGCCACGACUAGGCACAGACAUCCCCCGCCCCGAACUCUCUUCCCCAAACUACCCAUCCCAUCUCUCGCGAGAAAAAUUCCCUACCGCCGUCCAGAUCGGAGAUCACCUCGGCCUCCUCCACCACGCGCCCGCUUCCUCCCAUGGUCGUGUCCUCCCGACCCACCCUCCUCUUCGCUCACCACGCCGGCGCAGGCGGUCACGCGGGCGUCCAUUGAUCUGCAACUCUCACCGCCUUCAUAACGCUCAAGCGCCGCCCACGGAUAGACGAUGGCUUCAGCCGUGUCAACGAGGUCGAGGAGUCCCUUGACCUAGCCCUUGCCCUCACCUUCGUCGGAGGCCUCGCCCAUCUCGAUGGGGCCGGUUACUUAUCUCUCGGGGAUGCCCUGCCCUCCCCUGGCGUGCUGGGGACCGAUGAUGCCCUGCCUUCCCCUGGCGUGUUGGGGAUCUGGUGGCGCCCGUCGAACGUCGAGAGGUGGCACAGCCCCGCCACACACUUGUUCCUCCUCCUCAGGAUCCUCAAUUCCUCAUCUAAAAGCUGUGAUAUUUCCCUCCUUCAUGGAUGUAUGGAACUGCGUGAAUGGGACAGCGAAGCCACUGUCAUGAAACUUGCAGAAUGAUGACAGAGAUAUCGAAAGAUUUUCUAAAAUGAGGUGUGAAAUAAAAGGCAAAUGUGAAGCUCUUGCAUCAAUCCUCAGACUGAUUCCUGCAAAUUUUCCUACAGAACUACAACAUGGUAGUCUUGAAUAUGGAGAUGACAAGAUCGAAAAGGACGGUGAUAUAAGGAAAGCGGGGAGUGGAGGAGGAAGAAAGUUGGGAUGCCAAUUAUAAAUAGGUUAAUACUUCAAAUCUUUAUGCACUGAGGUAUUCUUUGUGUUAGAAAUAAUUGUUUAAAAGGCUCAUGAUUUUGGCGAAACUGUAUGAUGUAUGUGUGUUCCUUCACAUGGAAAAAUAUGAAAGGGUACCCAUUAUGAAAUCAUAGACCAGUGAUGUAUCAUUUCUUUGUCUUUCUUAUUGCAAAUAUGGCUCACAUGGCCGCGCUCUGCAGAAUAUAGAGUUUGAUGAUGAUGAUGAUUGGAACCAAGAGGAGGAAGCAAGUAAGUUUCAUUUGAUUUUCUAUUCAUGAGGUUACAGUAACAAGAUAUGUAAAGUCUGGAUUGGUUUACUUAUCACUUGUAUGUUCCAUACUUGCAGUUUUUCAGUACUUUCGUCUUGUUGCCUCUCAGUGUAUCACUAAAUAAUCAGUGUUUUUGGGUACUUGCUUGUUGUUGCCUUUCAGUGUAUCACUAAAUAAUCAGUUGACCGGUGUUGGCAAUGUUGCAUCGAUCCUAUUUAUUUCUGGUUCUGUAUGCCUCCCAAGCUACAACUUAUACCCAAAAUUAUUAGCAUACAAAUUGGUAUCAGUUGUGGGAGACUCGGCCAUGCCGACAAUGCCUCCAAUGUGGUGGCGGUCAUGGUGGACGCCACCAUGUGAGCUUCAGCUCAUCGUGGUGUAGCCGGAGCGAUUUCCUUCGCUGUUGAAGUCCGGGAAGAUUUUUAUGUGAAUGCAAUCCUGUUUUGCUAGGUCCCUAGCAUUAUUAAUUUUAUUUUUCUGCCAAUAACAACCAAGUAACGUGUGCAUGUCCACGUCUUGGAGUAAUUCUCGGUUAGUUAGAUCUGACCGCUGCAUGUGCUUCGUGGGAUGCCACGAAUCCAGUGCAAGCAGCGUUAUUGUCGUUGGGUUCAGGUGGACAUGGGAUGGUUCAUUUGAUAUACCUACUCACUAGCUACUUUCUCUCUUUUUCAGUAGCACUUGACCAUAUAAAUAAGAGAAAAAAAACCAGAAAACGCUGCAAGAUUUUUACGCAAUGCAAAUUACUUGUCUGCGUGCUCGUGCGUGUUUAUACGUGCGCUUGUUCUUUUGUGUCCAAAUACUUGUGUAGUGUUGUGAGAGAGAUUCUGCAACUUCAGUUUUUGUCAUGCAGUUCCUUAAAACGUAUACAUCUCUUGCAUCCUUUAGAUACAUCAUGUGUACAGGUAUAUGUACAGGGAGCAAGUGCCACAUUGCUACAUUUAAUGCUUUGGUGUGCUCUCACGCUCCAUGCCAUUGUCCCACGCUCCAAACUGUAGAUAUUGACUAUGAUAUGAAAUUGUAAUUGCUCAUAAUUUAUAUUUUUGACACAAGGCAGGAGCCAAGAACAUCUGUGUGACAUGGAAGCUCUUAACAAUGGUUAGCGUAUGGUUCGCAAGUUAUUUCUCUGGUUCAUCUCAAAUUGAGCGUCUUGAUACUUCAUAUGAAUAUUUGGUUGUAACAAAUUGUUUUCCGCAAGUCACAAUUUUUUGUAUGCAAGAAAUAUGUAUAAAAUUCCUCAAAGCAUUGUAGAUAAGCAGCUUCAUAUGUCUGAGUGUCUGAUAUGCCUUUCUUUUUCAGUUUUUCCUGCCAGAAAGAAAGCAAGUGACC